This 670-nucleotide unclassified non-coding RNA is filed under the name Bactrocera tryoni. RNAcentral's name for it is "nADH dehydrogenase [ubiquinone] 1 beta subcomplex subunit 7, transcript variant X2". Lineage: Eukaryota; Metazoa; Arthropoda; Insecta; Diptera; Tephritidae. The record is from RNAcentral.
ACAUCGCCACCAAUCUAUUACAUUUAAGUAUCCAUUGCUUGUCAAAUUUGACGUUUUCUGCAAGCAGCCAGCAAGAAAGAAAUCGGCGAGCAAUUAUAUUUACCGAAACGUACAAAACGACGACAGUAUGGGUAAUGCUUAUGCACGUGCCAUUAAGCCAGAUGUAACGCCUGGCCCUGAUUGUGUGCCCACAUUCGAUCCAAUGUUGGGUUUCGAAUCACGCAAGGAGCGUGUCAUGAUAGCGACUGUCGAAGAGAUGGAAUCUGCUAAAUUGCCACUAGAAGAUCGUGACUACUGUGCACACAAGCUGCUUAAAUACCGUGCAUGCCGUGCUGAUACCUUCCCCUUUGUAUACAAAUGUCAUCAUGAGAAACAUGACUAUUUAACAUGCGAAUACGAGGACUACGUGUUGCGUAUGAAGGAGUUUGAACGCGAGCGAAGAUUGCGCGAACGCCAAAAGCAGAUCGAGAAGCAGGGUGCUUAGAAUUUAGGAUAUUAAAUGCUUAAAAAAGUUUUGUUAUACAAAUGUGAUGGCAGUUGAUUGCGGUUCUGCGCUGUUACUAAAAUUACUGCUUGGACCGCUAAAUAACUUGCACGGUGUCACUUUCAUUUUUCAAGCAAAUAGUCAAUGAAAAUAUAUUCUAUAAAUAAAGCGGAAUUAAACAAACGA